CGGGCCAGUAUUAAGCAUUACCCCGUGGUGGGGUUCCCGAGCGAUCAUAAGGGAGCUGACUGCAAAUCUGCCGUCAUCGACUUCAAGUUCGACUCGAGCAAUAGUGAGAGAACGUUGCCGCACGCAACGGCCCGAAAGGGUGAGGAGCUUUAGCUCCGAAUAAUCCUUCCCGCUAUAGAA
RNAcentral lists this small RNA (180 nucleotides) under Salmonella enterica subsp. enterica serovar Kentucky str. CDC 191. Its description in RNAcentral is "RtT RNA". The stretch from base 39 to 180 matches the Rfam family "RtT RNA". Rfam says of the family: This family represents a bacterial cis-regulatory element known as RtT RNA. The exact function of RtT is unknown although it is thought that it may be involved in changing the cellular response in relation to amino acid starvation. The record is from RNAcentral. Lineage: Bacteria; Pseudomonadati; Pseudomonadota; Gammaproteobacteria; Enterobacterales; Enterobacteriaceae.